RNAcentral lists this ribosomal RNA (357 nucleotides) under Triticum aestivum (bread wheat). RNAcentral describes it as "partial small subunit ribosomal RNA". The record is from RNAcentral. Lineage: Eukaryota; Viridiplantae; Streptophyta; Magnoliopsida; Poales; Poaceae.
AUGUUUAUAAUGUGGUUAGUCCUUCAUCCCCUAGAGAUAAAUUGUUGGUCUAAUUAUCCAGCAUUCUUGUUCCACUUCAGGUGCAAGGAGGAGCAUGUGGCUGACCCUGCAUCUGCACAGACGCUGCAAGAACAGGAUGUCUUGCGCUUAAAGGAGUUGCUCGAACUACAAUAUCGAUUGAAUUGUACGAGCCAUUGUCCAUCACUGCCACUUCCUCGUCCUCUCCGCUGGACACCAUUGAGAUCUCACCAUGAUCAUGGCGCUGCCUUUCCUCGUCAUUCAUAUGGGCUCUUGCUGCUCUGCAAGAGCUUGAUUGGGUCAUUGGGAUUCACAUUUCACACCAUUGAAACAUCUUGA